This 74-nucleotide transfer RNA is filed under the name Candidatus Shikimatogenerans bostrichidophilus. RNAcentral's name for it is "tRNA-Arg". It matches the Rfam family "tRNA". From Rfam's summary of the family: Transfer RNA (tRNA) molecules are approximately 80 nucleotides in length. The record is from RNAcentral. Lineage: Bacteria; Pseudomonadati; Bacteroidota; Flavobacteriia; Flavobacteriales.
GACCUCGUAGCUCAAUUGGAUAGAGCAUCUGACUACGGAUCAGAAGGUUAAGGGUUCAAAUCCUUUCGAGGUUA